RNAcentral lists this ribosomal RNA (501 nucleotides) under uncultured bacterium. RNAcentral's name for it is "partial 16S ribosomal RNA". It matches the Rfam family "Bacterial small subunit ribosomal RNA", at positions 29 to 523 of the family's 1533-position model. The record is from RNAcentral.
AUUGAACGCUGGCGGCAUGCCUUACACAUGCAAGUCGAACGGCAGCACGGGUGCUUGCACCUGGUGGCGAGUGGCGAACGGGUGAGUAAUACAUCGGAACGUACCUUAUCGUGGGGGAUAACGCAGCGAAAGCUGUGCUAAUACCGCAUACGCCCUGAGGGGGAAAGCGGGGGAUCGCAAGACCUCGCGCGAUUAGAGCGGCCGAUGCCUGAUUAGCUUGUUGGUGGGGAAAAAGCCAACCAAGGCGACGAUCAGUAGCUGGUCUGAGAGGACGAUCAGCCACACUGGGACUGAGACACGGCCCAGACUCCUACGGGAGGCAGCAGUGGGGAAUUUUGGACAAUGGGGGCAACCCUGAUCCAGCAAUGCCGCGUGAGUGAAGAAGGCCUUCGGGUUGUAAAGCUCUUUUGUCAGGGAAGAAACACCGGCUCUAACACAGUCCGGGAAUGACGGUACCUGAAGAAUAAGCACCGGCUAACUACGUGCCAGCAGCCGCCGUAA